Molecule: transfer RNA, 84 nt
Rfam family: tRNA
About the family: Transfer RNA (tRNA) molecules are approximately 80 nucleotides in length.
GCGGGUGUGGCGGAAUUGGCAGACGCGCCAGACUUAGGAUCUGGUGUCCCGGACGUGCAGGUUCAAGUCCUGUCACCCGCACCA